UGCUUUACACAUGCAAGUCGAACGGCAGCACGGGCUUCGGCCUGGUGGCGAGUGGCGAACGGGUGAGUAAUAUAUCGGAACGUACCCAAGAGUGGGGGAUAACGUAGCGAAAGUUACGCUAAUACCGCAUACGAUCUAAGGAUGAAAGUGGGGGAUCGCAAGACCUYRUGCUCCUGGAGCGGCCGAUAUCUGAUUAGCUAGUUGGUGAGGUAAAGGCUCACCAAGGCGACGAUCAGUAGCUGGUCUGAGAGGACGACCAGCCACACUGGAACUGAGACACGGUCCAGACUCCUACGGGAGGCAGCAGUGGGGAAUUUUGGACAAUGGGCGCAAGCCUGAUCCAGCAAUGCCGCGUGAGUGAAGAAGGCCUUCGGGUUGUAAAGCUCUUUUGUCAGGGAAGAAACGGUAGAGGCUAAUAUCCUUUGCUAAUGACGGUACCUGAAGAAUAAGCACCGGCUAACUACGUGCCAGCAGCCGCGGUAAUACGUAGGGUGCAAGCGUUAAUCGGAAUUACUGGGCGUAAAGCGUGCGCAGGCGGUUUUGUAAGUCUGUCGUGAAAGCCCCGGGCUCAACCUGGGAAUUGCGAUGGAGACUGCAAGGCUUGAAUCUGGCAGAGGGGGGUAGAAUUCCACGUGUAGCAGUGAAAUGCGUAGAGAUGUGGAGGAACACCGAUGGCGAAGGCAGCCCCCUGGGUCAAGAUUGACGCUCAUGCACGAAAGCGUGGGGAGCAAACAGGAUUAGAUACCCUGGUAGUCCACGCCCUAAACGAUGUCUACUAGUUGUCGGGUUUUAAUUAACUUGGUAACGCAGCUAACGCGUGAAGUAGACCGCCUGGGGAGUACGGUCGCAAGAUUAAAACUCAAAGGAAUUGACGGGGACCCGCACAAGCGGUGGAUGAUGUGGAUUAAUUCGAUGCAACGCGAAAAACCUUACCUACCCUUGACAUGUCAGGAAG
RNAcentral lists this ribosomal RNA (955 nucleotides) under Massilia suwonensis. RNAcentral's name for it is "bacterial SSU rRNA". The record is from RNAcentral. Lineage: Bacteria; Pseudomonadati; Pseudomonadota; Betaproteobacteria; Burkholderiales; Oxalobacteraceae.